AGCAGUAGCCGCGGGAAUACGGAGGAUCCAAGCGUUAUCCGGAAUCAUUGGGUUUAAAGGGUCCGUAGGCGGUCUUGUAAGUCAGUGGUGAAAGCCCAUCGCUCAACGGUGGAACGGCCAUUGAUACUGCAGGACUUGAAUUAUUGGGAAGUAACUAGAAUAUGUAGUGUAGCGGUGAAAUGCUUAGAGAUUACAUGGAAUACCAAUUGCGAAGGCAGGUUACUACCAAUUGAUUGACGCUGAUGGACGAAAGCGUGGGUAGCGAACAGGAUUAGAUACCCGAGUAGUCCCUGUCUCUUAUAU
Molecule: ribosomal RNA, 303 nt
Filed under: uncultured bacterium
Lineage: Bacteria
Description: partial 16S ribosomal RNA
Rfam family: Bacterial small subunit ribosomal RNA
Source: RNAcentral